RNAcentral lists this ribosomal RNA (497 nucleotides) under uncultured bacterium. RNAcentral describes it as "partial 16S ribosomal RNA". It matches the Rfam family "Bacterial small subunit ribosomal RNA", at positions 28 to 507 of the family's 1533-position model. The record is from RNAcentral.
GAUGAACGCUGGCGGCGUGCCUAAUACAUGCAAGUCGAGCGAACAGACGAGGAUCUUGCUCCUCUGACGUUAGCGGCGGACGGGUGAGUAACAUGUGGAUAACCUACCUAUAAGACUGGGAUAACUUCGGGAAACCGGAUCUAAUACCGGAUAAUAUAUUGAACCGCAUGGUUCAAUAGUGAAAUACGGUUUUGCUGUCACUUCUAGAUGGAUCCGCGCCGCAUUAGCUGGUUGGUACGUUAACGGCUUACCAAGGCAACGAUGCGUAGCCGACCUGAGAGGCUGAUCGCCCACCUGGGGAGUGAGACACGGUCAAGACUCCUACGGGAGGCAGCAGUAGGGAACCGGACGCAAUGGGCGAAAGCCUGACGCAGCAACGCGGAGUGAGUGAUGAAGGUCUUCGGAUCGUAAAACUCUGUUAUUAGGGAAGAACAAAUGUGUAAGUAACUGUGCACGUCUUGACGGUACCUAGUCAGAAAGCAACGGCUAACUACGUG